Molecule: ribosomal RNA, 484 nt
Filed under: Porphyromonas endodontalis
Lineage: Bacteria; Pseudomonadati; Bacteroidota; Bacteroidia; Bacteroidales; Porphyromonadaceae
Description: bacterial SSU rRNA
Rfam family: Bacterial small subunit ribosomal RNA
Source: RNAcentral
GAUGAACGCUAGCGAUAGGCUUAACACAUGCAAGUCGAGGGGCAACAUUAUCUUAGCUUGCUAAGAUAGAUGGCGACCGGCGCACGGGUGCGUAACGCGUAUGCAACCUGCCUGUAAUUAGGGAAUAACCCGGUGAAAGUCGGACUAAUACCCUAUAUUCUUCUUUCUCCGCAUGGAGGAGGACGGAAAGAUUUAUUGAUUACAGAUGGGCAUGCGUCCCAUUAGCUGGUUGGUAAGGUAACGGCUUACCAAGGCAACGAUGGGUAGGGGGACUGAGAGGUUGACCCCCCACACUGGUACUGAGACACGGACCAGACUCCUACGGGAGGCAGCAGUGAGGAAUAUUGGUCAAUGGGCGAGAGCCUGAACCAGCCAAGUCGCGUGAAGGAGGACGGUUCUAUGGAUUGUAAACUUCUUUUGUAGAGGAAUAACGGCAGCUAACGUGUAGCUGAGAUGCAUGUACUCUACGAAUAGUAUCGCUAAC